Chinchilla lanigera (long-tailed chinchilla) is the source of this 1938-nucleotide long non-coding RNA. RefSeq lists it as uncharacterized. The record is from RefSeq and is a predicted model, not a curated record. NCBI's taxonomy places the organism in Eukaryota, Metazoa, Chordata, Mammalia, Rodentia, Chinchillidae. The transcript has 3 exons.
AGCAAAACACGGGUCCAAACAGCCCUUUUGGUAAAGACUAUUCCUGUAUGUUGCGGCCCCCAUCGCACUUCUGCCUGUUAUCAAGUUCUUCCACUGUUCAGCUCAGUGAUUAUUUAUGGACUGCCUUGUCACAUGUAAUUUACUCCAAGUCACUUUAAAAUUUAAGUCAUCUUGAUCAGUUUAGUUCCCUGCCAUUCUUUCUGGCCUUUAUAAACAUCAUCCUCUUCCAGGAAUUGCUUGUCCUGUUACUGCCAUACUAACAGUAAAAGAACUAACAUUUACUACACACUUAAUGUGUCCAGGCGUUUAAUAACUGACACAAAGUACACACACAUAAAGGUGAAUUUUACUAAUAUAAAUAUUUAAUAUGCUAUUGAAAAUUCCAUAUAAGCAUUUGCCGACUUUUUUAUUUCCCCCGAAAUUCUUGUAUCUGCCAUCAUCUUAUGAUUGCAAUUGAUUAAUGAAUGUAAUCUGGGAUAAAUGUUGGUUGGUAUUUUCAUUAACAAGACAAAUAAGAAUCAUCACGUCAGAACGUCACUCGUUUGCCAGCGAUGUAUCUGACUUCCUUACUGAAUCAGAUCACAGUUUCUGAAUACUGGAAUACUUCACUUUUGGGGUUAUUCACAGUGUGAUGCUUACAGAUAUAUUUUUAAUUCUUAUCUACAUCAAUAUUUUUCUAUCUUUUUUAGGUCUAAUCAAAACUAUCAGUCCCUCUUUGGCCUAAAUACUGCCUCCGUGGCUAGUUUCAAACUACCAUGGUGGAAGUGAGGACAAUCUGGCUGCGACAUCUGUCACCCCAUCGAUCGCCAGGGCUGUUCAGCUGAUCUGGCUGGCCGGGCAGGUGUCCCCUUCCUCCCUCAACGCUCCACAUGCGUCCCUCCCCAAGCUGCACACUCGGUCGAAGAGGACGACCACCCUCGAUAAAGGAGGACUGUUCCUUGGUCACGGGUGUACGAGUAGCUGCACUCCCCUGCUAGACCGCCAAACAAGCUCUCAAACUACCAUGGUGUUACUGAAUGUACAACUGGGGAAAGGUGUGUGAUGUACAUCAAGGUAUGGUGUCUUCACCACAAAGCCAACACAACCUCCACAGAACGGGUACCAGUAAAGUGUAGUAAGCACUCCACAGUUGUCCUGUUGUGUGCCAGGCCUCACCUCUGUAAGCUACGCCUCGUCAAAGCCACCAACAUCUCUUCUGACACGCUUGCCUUGCUUCACCUCAGCAAGAACUUGAGAAUUUCGUCACUGUCACACAUGCUGCCCACUGAGUCUCAAUACAUCUCGGCCCAAUCUCAUUAGCCUGGCAAGACCACGAGACCAGUAUCUGACUUGGAGGAAAUGCUAAAGCAACAAAUGACCAGACUCUCUUCCACAGUGAUCUUAACGUCCUACAUGCUCACCAAUGAGGAAACAUAACUUGGCAAAGGCUACCUUCCAAUUUUUCCAUAUUUCCAUCCACAUUUUUUAAGUAGCAGUCAACCUAAAGAAUGGUAAGUAACAGCUUAUAGUUUUAAUGUGCGUUUCUCUAAUAACUAGUAAUCAUGAGCAUCUUUUCAUGUACUUAUUGGCCAUCUGCAUAUCUUCUCUAGAGAAGUACUUAUUGAAGUUCUUUGCUUAUUUCUGUAUCAGCUUUUUUGUUACGUUUUAUUUCUCCUCUGUAUAGUCUAGAUACUGAUUCCUUACUGGGUAUGAUUUUCAAAUAUGUCCUCCCAUGUUAAGGCUUGCCUUUUUACUCUGUUGAUAAUGACUUUGAGGUACAAAAUUUUUAAAACUUUAUUAAGUUCAAAUUUUUUUUUUUUUUUUUGGACUACCACAGCUCAAAGAGACAUUUGUCUAUACUUCCUCAUAGUGACAUUAGCCACACCGUGGCAUGGCCAAACCACGGAAGCAACCUAUGUCCACUGACAGAUGAAUGGAUCACAAAAUAUAUACAUACAA